RNAcentral lists this long non-coding RNA (1123 nucleotides) under Cricetulus griseus (Chinese hamster). RNAcentral's name for it is "lncRNA (ENSCGRG00000025879.1)". Lineage: Eukaryota; Metazoa; Chordata; Mammalia; Rodentia; Cricetidae. The record is from RNAcentral.
GGCAAUUUUAUGGCAAGCACAUGUUCGGCUGUUAUGGCUGCCAAAUGGGGAGCUGGUCCCUUCACUCUCUAUGCAGGAGGCCCUGGAUUAGUUCUCCAACACUAACAUUUAAUAAAGAAAAACAGGAGUGUUUAAAGAGAGAUGGUCAGUGGUGGCUCCCACUGCAGGGGAUGUGCAGAAAGGCUGGAGUCCAGCAGCAGUUCAGCGGAUGAAGUACAUCAGAUGGCUCGCCCUGUCAGCCAGAGGCUCGGGGACUUUCCUGGGGCUACACCUCUCCAGAAGUUUGAAGAUAACCAUUCAAUGCUCCUCAUAUUUCUGACAACCAAGAACUUUGGAAGAAUUUCUGCCCUCAGGCACUCUUAUUUCUGUGUCCAGAUUGGCCUUCUUCCAAACUUACCAGAGACACCAGAGAAUGAAGUUGUCUGUGGAAGGCUACUGGACAAACUGGACCCAAGUUCACUGGACAUCUGAUAGAAAGGUCAAGAUGAUCCAAGCUUUGCUCUCAAGCUUGACAGGAAAAAAAAAAAAAACCAAACUGGAAUUUCUUCUUGUAUAAUGUGGGCUUGAAUUAAAGACAUUUUUCAGUCUGCAGGACCUUUGACCUUUGCUCUGAAUGGAACAGUCAUUGGGCAGGGCCAGGCUCUCACUUGCCAGGGAGGACAUACUAAUUUUGAGCCCUGUUCCUUCUCCAACACAAAACUGUGUUGACUUAGAUGAGCUACUCUGUCAGGGUACAGGGGGUUCUAUGUAGCAUUACCUGGCCCUGCCUUGGAUGGUGAGUGCUAUAUGUUUAUGAGGAGAGAUUAUAUGAGAAUGAAAAGAAUGAACCUAAAUGGUGGCUGCUUUGUAUGUCUUGAAGAGACUGGGCCCUAGUUCUGGCAAGGACUUCUUACAUCUUGAUUUCAGGAGAAUAAAAUCAAAUCACAAAUCUAAACAUGAGGACACACUCACCAGGGGAGAGAUGGGACUAAAUAAACUGUUCUACUUUAAACAGAUCCUGGAUUGCAAGGAAUGAGUGUUUAUAACUCUGGAAGCAUUUGUUUCCUACAAGUCACUGUGGAUGAGAACACAUGGUGAGGAGAAGGCUACACACACACACACACACACACACACACAAUGGUAC